UGGGGAAUUUUGGACAAUGGGGGCAACCCUGAUCCAGCCAUGCCGCGUGAGUGAAGAAGGCCUUCGGGUUGUAAAGCUCUUUCGGACGGGACGAAAUGGUUAGCGUGAAUAACGCUGACUGAUGACGGUACUAUUUAUAAGGUCCGGCUAACUGCGUGCCAGCAGCCGCGGUAAUACGUAGGGACCAAGCGUUGUUCGGAUUUACUGGGCGUAAAGGGCGCGUAGGCGGCAUGACAAGUCACUUGUGAAAUCUCUGGGCUUAACCCAGAACGGCCAAGUGAUACUGUCGCGCUAGAGUGCAGAAGGGGCAAUCGGAAUUCUUGGUGUAGCGGUGAAAUGCGUAGAUAUCAAGAGGAACACCUGAGGUGAAGACGGGUUGCUGGGCUGACACUGACGCUGAGGUGCGAAAGCGUGGGGAGCAAACAGGAUUAGAUACCCAAGUAGUCCCUGAGCGGGCUGGCAAGGCGCAU
This 470-nucleotide ribosomal RNA is filed under the name uncultured bacterium. RNAcentral describes it as "bacterial SSU rRNA". It matches the Rfam family "Bacterial small subunit ribosomal RNA", at positions 355 to 825 of the family's 1533-position model. The record is from RNAcentral.